This 253-nucleotide ribosomal RNA is filed under the name uncultured bacterium. Its description in RNAcentral is "partial 16S ribosomal RNA". It matches the Rfam family "Bacterial small subunit ribosomal RNA", at positions 524 to 776 of the family's 1533-position model. The record is from RNAcentral.
UACGUAUGGUGCAAGCGUUAUCCGGAUUUAUUGGGCGUAAAGGGAACGCAGGCGGUCUUUUAAGUCUGAUGUGAAAGCCUUCGGCUUAACCGGAGUAGUGCAUUGGAAGCUGGGAGACUUGAGUGCAGAAGAGGAGAGUGGAACUCCAUGUGUAGCGGUGAAAUGCGUAGAUAUAUGGAAGAACACCAGUGGCGAAAGCGGCUCUCUGGUCUGUAACUGACGAUGAGGUUCGAAAGCGUGGGUAGCAAACAGG